Molecule: long non-coding RNA, 423 nt
Organism: Erythranthe guttata (spotted monkey flower)
Lineage: Eukaryota; Viridiplantae; Streptophyta; Magnoliopsida; Lamiales; Phrymaceae
Source: RefSeq, a predicted model, not a curated record
UUGAUCUCACAUUGACAAUUAUUCAACAGAAAAGAUGGCGACUACUUCACCUAAAAUAGUUCUCCUUGCUCUCAUUUUGAUCACCUUAUCAGUUAUACCUUGUUCCUCAAAAAUGUUUGGAGCGGAAGACAUGGAAUUGCAACCAACAGGAACUACUAGAGCUGUCCUUGCCAUGUGUCAUUCGUCUUGUAAGACGGAUCAAGACUGCGUUGAUGCUAAUUGUGGUAGCAAAUGUUUCACCUUGAAGCGCCCUCUUAAAAUGAGUAGUUGUCUUAGUUUUUAAUGCCAUAUUUCUUCAAAUUAUAUUCAAUAAAAAUGAAAUGUGGAGUGUUCACAAUAAUAAUAUAUAGCCAAUAAUAAUAACUUAAUGUUAUGGUUGUAUAAUCAUUGCAAGAUAAAAUCAAAUAAAUUCACCUUUAUUUU